AAGAAGUGUAGAUUUACCACAUCCAUUUAAUCCAAGCAAACCAUAACGUCUGCCAUAAUUGAGCUCCAGCUCAGAAUCAACAAUAAGGUCAUGCCCAUGAAAGGUAACUGAUAAAGAUUCUAUUCGGAUGUCCCUGGAGAGAGGAUGUGAGCAAAGCACACCAGUACAAGUCCGAUCAGAUAACUGAAGAGCGUCAACUCCAUUCGCCAACUUAUCAACUCCAUUCUGCGAUUCAGCCGCUGCCGCCUUGGAAGAAGCGGCCGCCGCCGCUGCUUUUCCUCCUCGCUUGGCCGCCGCAGCCGCCUUCUUCUGAGCCGCUUUCUUCUUGCUCGCGUCGGAAACCAUCCUUAACCUGGGGAGACGGAUAAAGAAGAUCCAAGGAAAAGCGACACUGACAGAGCGAGCGAGAAGGAGCAAGUGAGAAGAGGAAGCAGAUCUAGGGCUUGAAGAAAUCGCUCUUCGUCUCUCACGGCGCUAUUGUUGUGCGCUUUUUAUCAGAGACCUGCGACGCGUAAUGCGAU
Molecule: unclassified non-coding RNA, 521 nt
Filed under: Hevea brasiliensis (rubber tree)
Lineage: Eukaryota; Viridiplantae; Streptophyta; Magnoliopsida; Malpighiales; Euphorbiaceae
Source: RNAcentral